Molecule: ribosomal RNA, 596 nt
Filed under: uncultured bacterium
Lineage: Bacteria
Description: bacterial SSU rRNA
Rfam family: Bacterial small subunit ribosomal RNA
Source: RNAcentral
UGGCGGACGGGUGAGUAACACGUGGGUAACCUGCCCCUAAGUGGGGGAUAACAUUUGGAAACAGAUGCUAAUACCGCAUAGAUCCAAGAACCGCAUGGUUCUUGGCUGAAAGAUGGCGUAAGCUAUCGCUUUUGGAUGGACCCGCGGCGUAUUAGCUAGUUGGUGAGGUAAUGGCUCACCAAGGCGAUGAUACGUAGCCGAACUGAGAGGUUGAUCGGCCACAUUGGGACUGAGACACGGCCCAAACUCCUACGGGAGGCAGCAGUAGGGAAUCUUCCACAAUGGACGCAAGUCUGAUGGAGCAACACCGCGUGAGUGAAGAAGGCUUUCGGGUCGUAAAACUCUGUUGUUGGAGAAGAAUGGUCGGCAGAGUAACUGUUGUCGGCGUGACGGUAUCCAACCACAAAGCCACGGCUAACUACGUGCCAGCAGCCGCGGUAAUACGUAGGUGGCAAGCGUUAUCCGGAUUUAUUGGGCGUAAAGCGAGCGCAGGCGGUUUUUUAAGUCUGAUGUGAAAGCCCUCGGCUUAACCGAGGAAGCGCAUCGGAAACUGGGAAACUUGAGUGCAGAAGAGGACAGUGGAACUCCAUGUGUAG